GAUGAACGCUGGCGGCGUGCCUAAUACAUGCAAGUCGAGCGAACAGACGAGGAGCUUGCUCCUCUGACGUUAGCGGCGGACGGGUGAGUAACACGUGGAUAACCUACCUAUAAGACUGGGAUAACUUCGGGAAACCGGAGCUAAUACCGGAUAAUAUAUUGAACCGCAUGGUUCAAUAGUGAAAGACGGUUUUGCUGUCACUUAUAGAUGGAUCCGCGCCGCAUUAGCUAGUUGGUAAGGUAACGGCUUACCAAGGCAACGAUGCGUAGCCGACCUGAGAGGGUGAUCGGCCACACUGGAACUGAGACACGGUUCAGACUCCUACGGGAGGCAGCAGUAGGGAAUCUUCCGCAAUGGGCGAAAGCCUGACGGAGCAACGCCGCGUGAGUGAUGAAGGUCUUCGGAUCGGAAAACUCUGUUAUUAGGGAAGAACAAAUGUGUAAGUAACUAUGCACGUCUUGACGGUACCUAAUCAGAAAGCCACGGCUAACUACGUG
RNAcentral lists this ribosomal RNA (497 nucleotides) under uncultured bacterium. RNAcentral's name for it is "partial 16S ribosomal RNA". It matches the Rfam family "Bacterial small subunit ribosomal RNA", at positions 28 to 507 of the family's 1533-position model. The record is from RNAcentral.